RNAcentral lists this ribosomal RNA (4464 nucleotides) under Triticum aestivum (bread wheat). RNAcentral's name for it is "partial small subunit ribosomal RNA". Lineage: Eukaryota; Viridiplantae; Streptophyta; Magnoliopsida; Poales; Poaceae. The record is from RNAcentral.
AUGGGUUCCCUCACAAGUUCUUCCUGGGUGACGAGCUUGUGUGGGAGCCCGAUAUGCUCCGGCCAAGACGCCACCUCAUGCGCUUUGAAGCAAAUGUUCGACUCCUCCACCUGCACCAACCAUCUGGUGGCCACCGGCAUCGCCGCGCUGCUCGUGCUCGCGCUCGCACUCCAGGUGCUUGUGAAAAUUCCGCACAGCAGAGCGUCUGCGCGGCAGCUCGUCACGCUCGGCUCACCGCUGCACCUCUCUGCCGUGGUGUUCACCGGCUGCUUGGGUUUGGUUUAUCUUGGGCUAGGACUCUGGAUGCUGGGGAGUGACUUCAGUCAGGAUGCCUCUGUUGUUCACCUUCCACAUUGGUGGCUUGUGACGUCAUCUCAGGGUCUGAAUCUGAUCCUUACCAGCUUGGCUUUCAGCAUCAGGCCUCGCUUUCUUGGCGCAGGAUUCGUCAGGUCUUGGCCGGUCUUGCUGACCGUCUAUGCAGCAUUCGUUUGUUGCUCUUCAGUUGUUGUUAUUGUUGCAGAGAAGAUGAUCACCGUCAAGGGCUGUUUGGAUGUUCUGUACUUUCCAGGUGCAGUGGUCCUCCUCAUUUAUGGCAUUCGGCACAGCCAUGACGAAGAGGGCUAUGGAGAAAGUGGCAAUGGUUUAUACAAGCCCCUCAACACGGACACAGACGGUGAGGCAGCUGAUUCUGAGGCUCAUCAGGUCACUCCCUUUGCUACUGCUGGUUUUUUCAGUGAGAUGUCGUUUUGGUGGUUGAAUCCUCUGAUGAAGAAGGGCUAUGAGAAUCCCCUUGAGGACAAAGACAUGCUUCUUUUAGGCGCCACAGAUCGAGCGCAAAACCAGUACUCGAUGCUCAUGGAGAAGCUGAAUUGCAGGAAGCAGUCGCCGGCGCACGCCACACCAUCAUUCUUCUGGACUAUUGUUUCUUGUCACAAGCGUGCCGUCGUGGUCUCGGGUUUCUUUGCUUUGCUCAAGGUUCUCACCUUAUCCACUGGCCCAGUAAUUCUCAAGGCAUUCAUCAAUGUAUCACUUGGGAAAGGGACCUUUAAAUACGAAAGCUAUGCGCUGGCUGCAUUAUUGUUCGUCUGCAAAUGCUGUGAAUCAUUGUCGGAGAGACAGUGGUAUUUCCGCACUCGGAGAUUAGGACUGCAGGUGAGGUCACUCCUGUCAGCAGCUAUUUAUAAGAAACAACAGAAGCUAUCAAACUCCGCAAAAAUGAAGCACUCUUCUGGACAAAUUAUGAACUAUGUGACCGUCGAUGCCUAUCGGAUUGGGGAAUUCCCAUAUUGGUUCCAUCAAACAUGGACAACAAUUGUUCAGCUUUGCAUUGCUCUGGCAAUUCUAUACAAUGCGGUUGGUGCUGCAAUGAUUUCAUCAUUGGUUGUCAUCAUUCUCACUGUACUCUGCAAUGCUCCACUGGCCAGAUUCCAACACAAAUUUCAGAGUAAACUUAUGGAAGCACAAGAUGUGAGAUUGAAGGCCAUGUCUGAGUCACUAGUUCAUAUGAAGGUCUUGAAACUUUAUGCAUGGGAAGCCCACUUCAAGAAGGUCAUCGAGGGGUUGAGGGAAGUUGAGUACAAGUGGUUGUCAGCAUUCCAGCUUUGGAGGGCAUACAACAGUUUCUUGUUCUGGGCUUCUCCUGCUUUGGUUUCUGUGGCAACCUUUGUAACAUGCUAUCUUUUGAAAAUCCCUCUUGAUGCUAGCAAUGUAUUCACCUUUGUGGCAACUCUACGUCUCGUGCAAGACCCAGUUAGGACGAUACCGGAUGUUAUUGCUGUUGUGAUACAAGCUAAGGUUGCUUUCACUCGGAUAUCAAAGUUCCUUGAUGCACCUGAGCUAAACGGGCAAGUUAGGAAGAAAUAUUAUGGUGGCAUUGAUUACCCUAUAGCGAUGAAUUCGUGUAGCUUCUCGUGGGAUGAGAAUACAUCAAAACAAACUCUAAAGAAUAUAAAUCUCGCAGUCAAAGCUGGAGAAAAGGUUGCAAUUUGUGGAGAGGUUGGAUCAGGAAAGUCGACACUUUUGGCGGCUGUACUCGGAGAGGUCCCCAAAACUGAAGGCACGAUCCAAGUCUGUGGGAAAAUAGCAUAUAUUUCUCAGAAUGCAUGGAUCCAAACAGGAACUGUGCAAGACAAUAUUCUCUUUGGAUCGUCGAUGGACAAGCAAAGAUACCACAACACACUUGCGAGGUGCUCAUUGGUCAAGGACCUUGAAUUGUUGCCAUAUGGAGAUUGUACUCAAAUUGGAGAGAGAGGAGUAAAUCUUAGUGGUGGUCAGAAGCAGCGCGUCCAGCUUGCUCGUGCACUAUACCAAAAUGCAGACAUCUAUCUUCUUGAUGACCCUUUCAGUGCUGUUGAUGCCCAUACAGCCACAAGUCUCUUCAAUGAAUAUGUCAUGAGUGCCCUAUCAGACAAGACCGUUCUUCUGGUGACUCACCAAGUGGAUUUUCUACCUGUAUUUGACUCCAUUUUGUUAAUGUCAGAUGGACAGGUUAUUCGGUCUGCACCUUAUCAAGAUCUAUUGGCAGAUUGUGAAGAAUUUAAAGACCUUGUAAAUGCCCAUAAAGAUACUAUGGGUGUUUCGCAUCGUAAGAACAACAUACCCCAUCAAAGAUCUAAGGAAGUAUCAAUAAAGGAGACAGAUGGUAUUCAUGGAAGUAGAUAUACAGAGUCUGUGAAGCUAUCACCGGCAUAUCAACUAAUCAAGAAAGAGGAAAGAGAAACAGGGGAUGCAGUUUUCAAGUCUUAUAUGCUUUACCUGCGCCAGAAGAAAGGCUUCCUGUAUUUCUUCUUGUGUAUGAUUUCUCACAUAAUUUUCGUAGCUGGGCAGAUACUACAGAAUUCAUGGAUGGCUGCUAAUGUCCAAAAUCCUCAUGUUAGCACACUGAAGUUAAUUUCUGUGUACAUUAUUAUCGGAGCUUGCACAAUGAUCUUCUUGCUAUCAAGAUCUUUAACAGUCGUUGCUCUUGGGAUCCAGUCAUCAAGAUCCUUAUUUUCCCAGCUACUCAAUUCAUUGUUCCGUGCACCAAUGUCCUUUUUUGAUUCUACACCUCUAGGAAGGGUUCUUAGCCGGGUCUCUUCAGAUUUGAGUAUCGUUGACCUUGAUAUUCCAUUUGCAUUAGUGGUUAGCCUUGGCACCAGCUUAAAUGCAUGUAGCAAUCUAGGGGUAUUGGCUGUUGUUACAUGGCAAGUUCUGUUUGUAUCCGUGCCAAUGAUAGUUUUGGCAAUUAGGUUGCAGAGGUACUAUCUAGCAUCGGCCAAGGAAUUAAUGCGGAUCAAUGGUACUACAAAGUCCGCCCUAGCGAGUCACUUAGGUGAAUCGAUUGCAGGGGCUAUAACGAUAAGGGCCUUUGAGGGAGAAGAUCGUUUCUUUGCUAAAAAUUUGGAUCUUGUUGACAAGAAUGCCAGCCCAUAUUUCUGUAAUUUUGCAGCAACUGAAUGGUUGAUUCAACGUAUAGAAAUAAUGAGCGCCGUAGUUCUUUCUUCUUCUGCCUUUGUCAUGGCUCUUCUUCCUCAAGAAACUUUUAGCCCUGGUUUUGUGGGAAUGGCAUUGUCCUAUGGUCUUUCGCUAAAUACAUCAUUUGUUUCCUUUACUCAAAGCCAGUGCAACCUUGGGAAUCAAAUAAUCUCGGUGGAACGGGUGAGCCAAUACAUGGACAUACCAAGUCAAGCAGCAGAAGUCAUUGAAGACAAUCGACCAUUACCAGAUUGGCCCCAAAAUGGCAAUGUGGAGAUUAGGCAUUUGAAGAUCAGGUAUAGGAUAGAUGCUCCCCUUGUACUACAUGGAAUCACUUGCAAUUUUGAAGGUGGAGAUAAGAUUGGUAUAGUUGGUCGAACAGGAAGUGGCAAGACAACGUUAAUUGGUGCAUUGUUUCGCCUUGUUGAACCUGAUGAAGGGAAAAUAUUUAUAGACUCUGUGGAUAUCAGUAUGAUAGGCUUACAUGAUCUGCGGUCGCGUUUGGGUAUCAUUCCACAAGAUCCAACACUUUUUCAGGGUACAAUAAGAUACAAUCUAGAUCCUCUUGGGCAAUUCUCAGAUGAAAAAAUAUGGGAGGUUCUUGCCAAAUGUCAACUUCUUGAAGCUGUCCAGGAGAAGGAACAGGGACUGGAUUCACAUGUUGUGGAAAGUGGGUCAAACUGGAGCAUGGGCCAAAGGCAGCUCUUCUGCCUGGGACGCGCACUUCUGAGAAGGUGUCGUAUCUUAGUUCUUGAUGAAGCCACAGCGUCUAUAGACAAUGCAACAGAUGUUCUCCUUCAGAAGACGAUCCGGACAGAAUUCAAAUAUUGCACUGUUAUUACAGUUGCCCACCGUAUACCAACAGUUAUGGACUGCGAUAUGGUACUUGCAAUGAGCGACGGGAAAGUAGUGGAGUUUGACAAACCUGCAAAGCUCAUGGAAACUGAAGGGUCUCUCUUCCGCGAGCUGGUCAAGGAGUAUUGGUCAUACACUUCGAACACAAAUAUCUAG